This 200-nucleotide unclassified non-coding RNA is filed under the name soil metagenome. RNAcentral's name for it is "partial contains internal transcribed spacer 2 and large subunit ribosomal RNA". The record is from RNAcentral.
CUUGGAUUAUGAUUGUUGCCGGCGCAAGUCGACUCAAUUGAAAUACACGAGCUACCCAUUUGAAAUAAACGGUUUGACUCGGCGUGAUAAUUAUUUCGCUGAGGACGUUUUCUUCAAAAAUAAGAGGUGCUUCUAAUGCGCUUUUAUAGCAAUUUUAAAUUUUAGACCUCAAAUCAGUCAGGACUACCCGCUGAACUUAA